GAUGAACGCUGGCGGCGUGCUUAACACAUGCAAGUCGAACGAAGCACUUUAUUUGAUUUCCUUAGGGACUGGUUAUGUUUUGACUGAGUGGCGGACGGGUGAGUAAAGCGUGGGUAACCUGCCUUGUACAGGGGGAUAGUAGUUGGAAACGGCUGCUAAUACCGCAUAAGCGCACAGCAUCGCAUGAGGCAGUGGGUAAAAAUUCGGUGGUAUAAGAUGGACCCGCGUUGGAUUAGCUAGUUGGUGAGGUAACGGCCCACCAAGGCGACGAUCCAUAGCCGGUCUGAGAGGGUGAUCAGCCACACUGGGACUGAGACACGGCCCAGACUCCUACGGGAGGCAGCAGUGGGGAAUAUUGCACAAUGGGCGAAAGCCUGAUCCAGCAACGCCGCGUGAGUGAUGAAGGCCUUAGGGAUGUAAAGCUCUAUUAGCCGGGAUGAUAAUGACGGUACCGGAAGAAUAAGCUCCGGCUAACUCCGUG
Molecule: ribosomal RNA, 481 nt
Filed under: uncultured bacterium
Lineage: Bacteria
Description: partial 16S ribosomal RNA
Rfam family: Bacterial small subunit ribosomal RNA
Source: RNAcentral